UACGGAGGGGACUAGCUUGGUUCGGAAUUACUGGGCGUAAAGCGCGUGUAGGCGGGUCGUUAAGUUGGGGGUGAAAUCCCGAGGCUCAACCUCGGAACUGCCUUCAAAACUGGCGACCUGGACUCAAGCAGAGGCAAGUGGAAUUGCGAGUGUAGAGGUGAAAUUCGUAGAUAUUCGCAGGAACACCAGUGGCGAAGGCGACUUGCUGGGCUUGUAGUGACGCUGAGACGCGAAAGCGUGGGGAGCAAACAGG
RNAcentral lists this ribosomal RNA (253 nucleotides) under uncultured bacterium. RNAcentral's name for it is "partial 16S ribosomal RNA". It matches the Rfam family "Bacterial small subunit ribosomal RNA", at positions 524 to 776 of the family's 1533-position model. The record is from RNAcentral.